This 112-nucleotide ribosomal RNA is filed under the name Caerostris darwini. The record is from RNAcentral. Lineage: Eukaryota; Metazoa; Arthropoda; Arachnida; Araneae; Araneidae.
AACGGCCAUACCAUGCUGAAUAUACCGGUUCUCGUUAGAUCACCGAAGUCAAGCAUCAUUGGGCGCGGUCAGUACUUGGGUGGGUGACCACCUGGAAACACCGCGUGCCGUU